Long non-coding RNA from Triticum aestivum (bread wheat), 1801 nucleotides. RefSeq lists it as uncharacterized. The record is from RefSeq and is a predicted model, not a curated record. NCBI's taxonomy places the organism in Eukaryota, Viridiplantae, Streptophyta, Magnoliopsida, Poales, Poaceae. The transcript has 3 exons.
CGUCGUUUCGUCCGACCUCGUACGUCCCGCACCAAGCCUUCGCCCGCCGGUUUUUUUGGGUGCAUCUCCGAUUUAUUUCCGUCUGACUCCCACUCGUGGUCCCCUAGGACGCAGCCCACGCACCCAGUCGAUCGCUACCCAUCUCUCCCUGCCUCCCAACCUAGGGUUCCCAAACACCGCCGCCCUCCGCCGCGUGUUCCUCCGCCACUCUCCCCACGCGCCGCGCCGUGGGCACCAUCGCCGUCUGUCUCUCCUGCCCAAUCGCUUGCCGCAACGAGUCACACCGCCUCCUCCAUCCCCGUCACCUUCUGUCGGCCGAAGAUAGCCACAACGCCGAUGAGUGAAGGGGGUGGUGCCGUCGGAUCAGAGACACCAGGCGGUGGUGACAAUGACAGCGGCCGACAACCUAUGGGGAUUAGCAGGACAUGAGGGCACACAAUAGGCAGCAGCGCGCAAUAUCCAUGUUCAGAAGUGGCGGUUUGGUGGUGACAACAGAUAAAAGCAUCAGUGAUGUGUUUCGGCUCUUGGCUUCCUGCACUGUUUGACUUCAGUUAAGUACUGCCGCCGCGCUACUUCUUAUGUGAAGGUACUGCUACUACUGCAGCGACGGCCAAUGAGGUAGAAUCGUGGCUGCAACUUGGCGAGUUAAGUAGUGGCUUAACUGAACCUGCAAUCUUGCAAGAACUGUUAUUGAUUUUUCAAUGACCAAGCUGUGGUUCGUUGAUUUUGAUUGUACCUAUAUUCUCGUUCUCUAUUAUACCUCUGAACAAAUAUUAAUCUAGGAGUAUUUCCUACAGAGAUCAAGCAGAACUAAUCUACCGAAUUCAGAUAACUCUGUGCAACAGUGUGUUACCAACCAUAGAAAGAGUGAGCCCAUUAGGUUUUCCUGUGAUAAAAUGGCCUGAAGAUUACAGUUUCAAUUUGUUAUUCCAGUCUAGCUCAGGUGUUUCAUAGACUUUCAGAAAUAUCAAAUCUUGACCUUCACUGAAGUGGGCUUCCUUCUGAGAAAAAAAGUACCAAUGCAAAAAUGAUUUAUUUGAUCAGUAUUCGCAAAAAAAUUACUUUGAUCAGGGAAGAGGAGGCAGUGAGGGGAGUGAGCAUGGUGACGGGUUGCUUUGGCGUUCUCUUGCACGGGGAUAGGAAGCUGGAGUAAUCCAAGACCAGGACUAGCCUACAGCCAGGAAAGAACCUGAACCCCAAGGUGAGUGCAUCCUGUCUGUUUCCCCACUUAUUUAUUUUUUCUUGGGGAAUUUCGAUAAGGCGGUGCAGGUCGUUGAGGUGAUAUGUGAGUUGGAUAGGCUGGCAUGUAAUUGGUUUGGCAGCGCCUCGUGGUCUGAUCUCCGUUCUUGUUUGCUUCAAUAGGAAGGAGGGGCUCGGUGUUGAAAAAAGAACAGAGAGAAUUGUGCUGAUCAGGAGAAGUUAACUCAAAAUCCAAGAUGUGACCUUCACAUAGCUCACAAACUUAACCACUAUUUGAUUCUUGGUAACAUUGUACGGGACACAUAACAUCCAGUUGUAUAACUGUAUAAGUAGGGUGUACUUGAUACCUAUGUUGUUCUUUGUUAACUUGUUCGCUGAAUAUUUUUCUUGCGGGAUAAGCAUCCGAUCUAUUCAUCAUCUUUCAAGACAGUACAAAUAAAAAAUUACAACCAGAUCCGUAGACCACCUAGCAAUGACUUGCUCACUGAAUUAAUUUGUUUAAAUUAUAUAGGAUGAAAUUUUAUUCUUUUUUUUAUAAAGGGCGCUUUAUCAGAAUUCAGUUAUUGGUUUCAAAGUACUUGCUUAGAUUUGGGGACAAAGA